AUCGCUUCUCGGCCUUUUGGCUAAGAUCAAGUGUAGUAUCGUAUCGACUACUGCUUUAAGGGAUUAUCCAGGCUUAAAGGUUUU
RNAcentral lists this small nuclear RNA (84 nucleotides) under Zalophus californianus (California sea lion). RNAcentral describes it as "U2 spliceosomal RNA (ENSZCAG00015018215.1)". It matches the Rfam family "U2 spliceosomal RNA". From Rfam's summary of the family: U2 is a small nuclear RNA (snRNA) component of the spliceosome (involved in pre-mRNA splicing). Lineage: Eukaryota; Metazoa; Chordata; Mammalia; Carnivora; Otariidae. The record is from RNAcentral.